This is a non-coding RNA of Drosophila kikkawai, 1321 nucleotides long. The record is from RefSeq and is a predicted model, not a curated record. Lineage: Eukaryota; Metazoa; Arthropoda; Insecta; Diptera; Drosophilidae.
UAUUUCCGCCGAAAAGCCCAAUGGCGGCCGUGCAUAAGUUUUAAAGUGCCAAAAAUAAACUGAAAUUAAUCCUUGAGAGGAGCUUCAUCAGAAGCUGCAGCGGGCUGCGCAUGCUCAGCAGCGAUGACUCCUCUCUGGUGCCGCUGCUCCUGUUUCCAUAUUUAUCAUCUUGCUGCGACGCCUGUUUACGUGGAACUUUCAGCGCAAGCUGAACAAAAAUGGCGAUAAGCUGGCAAAGCUUAAGGAGAAGAAGCGCGUCCUAUUGGAGCAGGUCAUUUACAAGGAGACCUAUAAGGAAUGCUGCCCAAGGAGGAGUACGAGUACGCUUCAUUCCGGUGUGCCUUUUGCAGUGCACUGAACCAGGCAAGGAAGGAGCGACCUGUGGCACCUCGCCUCUCGCUGGAGGCCCCGACACCGACUAAGCGCAACGAAAGCUCCGAGAGUGAAUCAUCUGAUGACGAGUCAGGAUUCCAAGGAACAACUUCGCCUCUUUGUCCUUUGAGGCGCAAGACGAUAAAAAAAGUUGCUGAAGAAACUACCACAUGAGCGCAUCACCCUCAAGCAGGUCCUAAGCCAUCCAUUAAUUCUGAAGAAAAGCUAUUGAUUAUAGUGCGAAUCGCGGUUAUACGACGACUCCGAGAACGAUUGUGGAAUCCUAACAUUUACCAGCAAUGACUCGAGAAACUCUCAACAAAGAGCCGGUGCAGAAGGCUCACCUGCGCCAGUACGAACUCGGAUUAGAGUUCCGAGUGAGAGCUUACCACUUUAAGCAUGGCGAUAUGAAGCUCAAGUACGUGCCCAAGAUCAGCUCGCUAUAUCUGCGAAAACCAUUUAAAUUUAUUUAAAAUCUGGCAUUGACAUCCGCCUGCGAGAAGGUGGAGGUAGUCACUCCGCCGACCAUGAAGCAGCCGAAGGUCUCCUGGGGAUUCAGGGGAGGCCAGCAACGCGUGCCAACUGGGCAGCUGCAGGCGCUGUACCACCACUCACAGUACUCAAACUUAAAUGGAAAAAAGGAAAGAUAAAAAUGGUUAAAAAAUACAGACACCCCGAUCGUCAUACACGAGUUCACAGCUCCACCGGCCCGCAUAAAUUAGAGCCGAGAUCAGGAGCAGCAGCAAGGCGCACAUUCAGCCUGGAGGUGCGACCCUGAGCAAGUCCGCUGCACAUUUUUUGACUUAUUACCGGCCUCUGUCGACCGUGACAUUUGUUGAAAUUUGCUCAAAAUACCUGAAAACAGCCCGAUCAACGAACUGCAGACUAGCUUGAAAUGAGCUAUACUUGCAGCCAGAACAAAUAAUUUACAAUAAAAUUUAAGGAACAG